AUACGGAGGAUGCAAGCGUUAUCCGGAAUCAUUGGGUUUAAAGGGUCCGUAGGCGGAUUGGUAAGUCAGUGGUGAAAGUCUGCAGCUUAACUGUAGAAUUGCCAUUGAUACUGCUAGUCUUGAAUUACUGUGAAGUGAUUAGAAUGUGUAGUGUAGCGGUGAAAUGCAUAGAUAUUACACAGAAUACCAAUUGCGAAGGCAGAUCACUAACAGUAUAUUGACGCUGAGGGACGAAAGCGUGGGGAGCGAACAGGAUUAGAUACCCUAGUAGUCC
RNAcentral lists this ribosomal RNA (274 nucleotides) under uncultured bacterium. RNAcentral's name for it is "partial 16S ribosomal RNA". It matches the Rfam family "Bacterial small subunit ribosomal RNA", at positions 523 to 796 of the family's 1533-position model. The record is from RNAcentral.